GGGGAAUAUUGGACAAUGGGCGAAAGCCUGAUCCAGCCAUGCCGCGUGAGUGAUGAAGGCCCUAGGGUUGUAAAGCUCUUUCACCGGUGAAGAUAAUGACGGUAACCGGAGAAGAAGCCCCGGCUAACUUCGUGCCAGCAGCCGCGGUAAUACGAAGGGGGCUAGCGUUGUUCGGAAUUACUGGGCGUAAAGCGCACGUAGGCGGACAUUUAAGUCAGGGGUGAAAUCCCGGGGCUCAACCCCGGAACUGCCUUUGAUACUGGGUGUCUCGAGUCCGGAAGAGGUGAGUGGAAUUCCGAGUGUAGAGGUGAAAUUCGUAGAUAUUCGGAGGAACACCAGUGGCGAAGGCGGCUCACUGGUCCGGUACUGACGCUGAGGUGCGAAAGCGUGGGGAGCAAAC
This 400-nucleotide ribosomal RNA is filed under the name uncultured bacterium. Its description in RNAcentral is "bacterial SSU rRNA". It matches the Rfam family "Bacterial small subunit ribosomal RNA", at positions 356 to 773 of the family's 1533-position model. The record is from RNAcentral.